RNAcentral lists this ribosomal RNA (450 nucleotides) under Triticum aestivum (bread wheat). Its description in RNAcentral is "partial small subunit ribosomal RNA". The record is from RNAcentral. Lineage: Eukaryota; Viridiplantae; Streptophyta; Magnoliopsida; Poales; Poaceae.
AUGUACAAGCGAGGUAAAGGCAAGGAUCGUCUCCUAGUGGGCAUCUAUGUUGAUGAUCUCUUGAUAACUGGAGCAGAUGAGGAGGAGAUUGCUAAAUUCAAGCUACAAAUGAAGGAGCUUUUCAAGAUGAGUGAUCUAGGGCUCUUGACUUACUAUCUCGGGAUCGAGGUACAGCAAAAGCCGGAGGGAAUCACGUUAUGCCAGGAGGCAUAUGCAAAGAAGAUUCUUGAAAGCUGUAGCAUGGAGGACUGCAAUCCAAGUCAUGUUCCAAUGGAGCCUCGACUUAAACUUAGCAAGAGGAGCCAAGCACCCGCGGUUGAUGCAACGGACUAUAGAAGUGUGGUCGGAAGCCUAAGGUAUCUUAUGAAUACACGACCAGACUUGGCCUAUUCCGUUGGCGUAGUGAGUCGCUUCAUGGAAGCACCCACGACAGAACAUUGGGAGCUGUGA